UGGCGUUGCCAAGGGAGACGCGCGAUUUGGCGCGAAAUCUCCGUCGCCAUCUUGUCCCGUGUGAUGUUUUUCACAGUUUAAUGUGGCUUUGCGCGGCGACCGCCGCAUUUAGAACGCUGAAAAAAGAAAUAAGCGGGAUUAGCUUACGUGUCACGGUGAGCUGGCGACGCGACGUGGGAAUUAGCUAAGGAAGCAAAGGCGAUGCAGGGCGUCUGUCGCGCGUCCCAGAUAAGGAUUUAGAGACAAAGAUGGAUGUUGCCCGCGACGGAGCGUGUCUGAGCUUAUCACGACAAUUUCUUUGCUGUCUGCGCGUGUCGCCGUGUCGCGCCGUGACCCUACAGUUGCGCUCCAUCAUGCUCAACGUGGCCUUACUUUCACACAUAUACAAAUCGUAUCGUACGCAUAAUCAUUUAAACUACUGAUGUCAGAGAAUCAUCAAUACCUAAUAAAUAACGUCAAAUAUGUUCGUAAUACUAUUGUACAUCCUCCAAGGUUAAGUUCGACUCGGCCAUAGCAACAUCACGACUAUGGACUUUAUUGUAAGGUAAUACGGUUCUUGAUCUCUAUGUGGCCACUACUGGGGGGGGGGGGGCUAAAUAUGGAAUUAGCACUAGUGCUGUUGGAGCCCAACAUGGGGUUUUUAGUCACUGAAUAUCCAAUACACCCGAAUACCUUGAAUAAGCCCGACGGCAUCGAUAUAUAUGUAUGUACUACGUCCUAGGGUUGGCAUUUCGAACACUUCCUGUGUUCAACUGAAGUGUACUGCAAUCCGGUAUUGCUUGCCAUUUUACUUAUACUCUAUUUAAAGAGCUUUAGCACUGCAAGUUUCAAGUUUGGUUAGACGACAGUUGAUGUUUUAGCGUUGCAGCGAACUUUAAUUCUAACUCCAUAUCUUGAACAAAUACUUUAUAUGGACGUUCAUGUCUAUAGAAUAUACGUCUAUGCAUAGAGAUCCAUGAGGAUAAUCUCCAUAAAAAAGGAUAUAUUAAUUUACUCCUUUAUCUCGACGUGGUCGAUAAAGCAAAUAUCCUUCAUUAAUUUACAUUUGAUAGUGAAGUGAGUAGUAGCAUAUAGGUAUGUGGUAAAUAGCUCUGUGUCGGCAUAAUUCCAAUCAAAGUACAAUUUGAAACGAGUACAUAAAUAUAAAAUAAUAAAUUAAAGGACUACUUAUUUUGAUAAUAUGAAUAGUGAAGCUACAAAGGAGUCAAUAAUCACAAACGUACACUGCAAAUCAUAACCUUUCUUUCGUACAGUCGGAUUAUUACCGACAAAUAAAGCGUCAUAAAGUCCGCUACGUUUUAUCUGUAUGCACCGGCUAUCGGGCGAAAGUAAUGGGGUCAUAAUUAAGAGCAGAACAAUGAUAACGCACCCCCAAAUAACUGUUAUUACGUUUGUGUAGCUUACCCGCAAUGGGUACUAAUGUAAGUUGAACCCCGUGGUGUAUGAUGGCGAGUAGUGCGGACGGGUCAAGAAGUAUAAAUACCUACUUAUUGAUAUAUGAAUAUUACGUCUUUUCUAACUAAUAGGUUUAAUAUAAACUAGCACUUAUUAUAUGUACGAUAAGUCUUUAAAUGGUUACAUAACACCUGAUACAUGAAACUCACACAUGGAGAGUAUAAUCUAAAUAAACCACUUUUCGAAAAUG
RNAcentral lists this long non-coding RNA (1645 nucleotides) under Manduca sexta (tobacco hornworm). RNAcentral describes it as "uncharacterized LOC119188990". Lineage: Eukaryota; Metazoa; Arthropoda; Insecta; Lepidoptera; Sphingidae. The record is from RNAcentral.